AAGAGGUAUUAGUAAAACUUACGUAACUUUGUCAAAGUUAAAUUACAGGUGAAAUUCCCGUAUACCUCU
This 69-nucleotide transfer RNA is filed under the name Carollia perspicillata (Seba's short-tailed bat). RNAcentral's name for it is "transfer RNA-Asp". It matches the Rfam family "tRNA". From Rfam's summary of the family: Transfer RNA (tRNA) molecules are approximately 80 nucleotides in length. Their secondary structure includes four short double-helical elements and three loops (D, anti-codon, and T loops). Lineage: Eukaryota; Metazoa; Chordata; Mammalia; Chiroptera; Phyllostomidae. The record is from RNAcentral. RNAcentral also lists the same sequence under 1 other name.